AUCCCGUUCUUGUUCUCAAUAGCUCUUAAUUGAGUUCACCUGUGUCGCCCCGCACGUGCGGCGACGCAUUAUUUUGCGUUGAUCCCAAACGCGUAUUAAAAUGGUCCCGCGGUUGCUUGUUUGUUUUUUGUGCGCUUUUGACUGAACAAUCCGGACAACGUGGCCACCGACGGGGGAGCGAGGACGCCCGCAUUGUUUGUCAAAUUCAGGACUGGCGCUGGAAGCUGUAGGUGGAGGGAAGACCAGGAGUGGUGCAGCUCUGCAGAUGCUGAAGGUGUGCCAAAGCGUCACGUGUGUUCCUGAAGGGACUGAGGCGACGCAGUCGGAGGUCCCUGCGGUGGCGGUCAGCGGGAGGUGUCAAGACCAACCAGCUCCUCGUCCAGGAAAGGUCACGAUGGAAGAGCAGAUGGCUGUGCAGUUGCCAUAGUGCAGAGACCCAGAGUAUGAUGACCGAACAGUUGAUCUACAACGAUGGCCUACUCCCCAUCCACCCUGAGGAUCCCUGGCUACACCUACAAUCCAAUCUACCCCAGACAUAACCACUCGGAGCUCAACAACUCCUGCAACUCCUACACACAUACUGUUACCACUUUACCAUUUUAACUUUAAAACAAAGUACUGUAAUUCACACCAUGUUGUAGGAAAAGCAUGUUUAGAAUGACUUGUACAUUUUAUUUCUGUGACCCCAACUAUUGUAUUUCUAACCCAGUUACCUCUGAACCCUCUUUCUAAGGGAGCGACUAAAGGGACAAAGCUGGAGCUAACCUGAGCUUAACAAUCUUUCUAAUCUUUCUUUCUAAUGUACUAAAUUGAAUCAUAUGAAAGGCCUAAAGUAACUUGUUUAACAAAACAAAAAGCCAACCUAAUCCCCAAACUUAACCAUCAAACUAAAGAUCUCAAAUGCCUAAACUCUCUUACCUUAACCGAGUACCUAAACCGAACCAUUUAACUAAACAUCUCAAAGGCCUAAACUCGCUUACCUCAACCUAACCUAAUACCAAAACUUGACCAUCUAACUAAAGAGCUCAAAUUCCUAAACUCGCUUACCUCAACCUAACCUAAUACCAAAACUUGACCAUCUAACUAAAGAGCUCAAAUUCCUAAACUCUCUUACCUCAACCUAACCUAAUACCCAAACUUGACCAUAUAACUAAAUAGCUCAAAUGCCUAAACUCUUACCUUAACCUAGUACUUAAACUUGACCAUCUAACUAAACAUCUCGAAUACCUAAACUCUUUCCUAAUAUCUAAACAAUCUUUAAUGCAAUCACUAAAUGCCUAAACUUAACCAAACACCAAUAAUAAAAGUUAACCAUCCUUAAUCUUAAACCCAAACCAGACUUGUCCCUGGGUCGCUCCACUUUCUUUCUUUAAAGGCAUCUCUUUUCCCCCACAUCUGUGUUUUAUUCCUUGAGGACUCCAAGUGCUUCAGAUGAUAUUUGAAAACUUGUUUCAUUAAUAAAGAUACUUCAUCUUUACAGAUUUUGUUUUGGGGAAUUGGGACAGCUGAGCAGCUUAAGCAUCCUUACUGGUGAAUCUGAUCUGACAAUAUCAAUUUUAGGACUAUGAAGCCAAUAACAUAAGGCCAAAUAUGUGAAAAGACGAGGUAGACAAUGAUCGAGGAGUUAAUUGGUAACUAUCUAAAAUGGAACCAAAUGCCUAUUUAUUGAUCUGCUACCAGGCUAUCGCAGUAGGGGAAUCUGAAGGAGUACCCUACUGUGUUGCAGGGGUUCUUGCUAGAUUGCAUUAUGGCUAAGGCCAUUGAUCAAGAUUGUUAAUUUGAAGAAUAUGAAUAAAGAGUACUUGAAGUGGA
Long non-coding RNA from Gadus macrocephalus (Pacific cod), 1812 nucleotides. RefSeq lists it as uncharacterized. The record is from RefSeq and is a predicted model, not a curated record. The transcript has 5 exons. Lineage: Eukaryota; Metazoa; Chordata; Actinopteri; Gadiformes; Gadidae.